RNAcentral lists this ribosomal RNA (388 nucleotides) under Galaxiella pusilla. RNAcentral describes it as "partial 12S ribosomal RNA". It matches the Rfam family "Bacterial small subunit ribosomal RNA", at positions 794 to 1384 of the family's 1533-position model. The record is from RNAcentral. Lineage: Eukaryota; Metazoa; Chordata; Actinopteri; Galaxiiformes; Galaxiidae.
GCCUAGCCGUAAAAUUUGAUAAUAAUCUACAACUAUUAUCCGCCAGGGUACUACAAGCGCCAGCUUAAAACCCAAAGGACUUGGCGGUGCUUCAGACCCACCUAGAGGAGCCUGUCCUAGAACCGAUAACCCCCGUUAAACCUCACCUUUUCUUGUUAUUUCCGCCUAUAUACCGCCGUCGUCAGCACACCUUGUGAAAGAAAAAUAGUAUGCAAAAUGGACAAAAUCCAGAACGUCAGGUCGAGGUGUAGCGAAUGAAAAGGGAAGAGAUGGGCUACAUUCCCUAAAGUAGGGGACCACGGAAGGGGCUGUGAAACCGGCACCUGAAGGUGGAUUUAGCAGUAAGUAAAAAUUAGAGUAUUUUACUGAAACUGGCUCUGAAGCGCGC